GACGGAGGGGGCAAGCGUUGUCCGGAAUCACUGGGCGUAAAGCGCACGUAGGCGGUCCUUUGCGUCGGUGCUGAAAGCGCCCCGCUUAACGGGGCGAGGCGUGCCGAUACGAGAGGACUGGAGGCAGGCAGAGGGUGGCGGAAUUCCGGGUGUAGUGGUGAAAUGCGUAGAGAUCCGGAGGAUCGCCGGUGGUGCAGACGGCCACCUGGGCCUGACCUGACGCUGAGGUGCGAAAGCGUGGGGAGCGAACCGG
RNAcentral lists this ribosomal RNA (253 nucleotides) under uncultured Heliothrix sp. RNAcentral describes it as "partial 16S ribosomal RNA". It matches the Rfam family "Bacterial small subunit ribosomal RNA", at positions 524 to 776 of the family's 1533-position model. The record is from RNAcentral. Lineage: Bacteria; Bacillati; Chloroflexota; Chloroflexia; Chloroflexales; Roseiflexaceae.